RNAcentral lists this long non-coding RNA (1817 nucleotides) under Ananas comosus (pineapple). Its description in RNAcentral is "long non-coding RNA (ACOM_LNC004971)". Lineage: Eukaryota; Viridiplantae; Streptophyta; Magnoliopsida; Poales; Bromeliaceae. The record is from RNAcentral.
UGAUAAUAACAAAUUUAUUAAAAAAUAUAUACAAAGAUAUAAAGAGUAGGAUUGGAAUACUGUCGGUACUAAACGGUUAAGUUUACUACCGAUUUAUUUUCGAUAAUAGAGAUUCCAAAUUAACGAUCGGUACUAAUGAACAUGAUCUAGACUUUUUAAGCUAUAUAAAAACCAAAUUUUAUAUCAAAGCGAACGAUCAAAUGGUCACAAAAUUUAUAUUUUAAUUACGGGUAAAGUGCAUUUGAUCAUUUAACAAUAUAGAAGAGUCCAAAUUAUCUAAUUUUUUUUAUUAAAAUUUUUUUAAAAUUACUUAAAAUAAGAUCUAAAUAUUAGAUUUUGAAUAUAAAAAUUAUAUUAUCACUUUUCGAAAAAUAUUCAUUUUCAGUCCUUUAUUUUAUGUCCACUUGAUGGACAAGAAAACAAUAUCAAAAAAAUAUAAAAUUUAAUUUCUAAAUAGCUCAAAAAGUCUAAAUCAUGUUCAAUGGUGCCGAUCAUUGGUUUAGAAAUUCUACCAUCGAAAAUAAAUUGGUAAUAAAUUGAGGCGUUUAUUACUGAUAAUAUUCUAAUCCUCCUAUAUAUAUAGAGAGAGAGAGAGCUAGGCGUUUGUUUUUUCGGCAUCAUUUGGCUAGUGAUCAAAAGGUCUCAAAAUUGAUAAUUUUAAUAAUCAAUGUAAUGCACUUGUGAAUUUAACAGUGUAAAACAAUCCAAAUCUGAUAAAACUUUUAUAAAAAUUCAUUUCACUAUUUAGAGUAACAACAAUACCUCUAAUCUUAAAUUUAAGUCUUUUAUCAUUAUUUUUUAUGAAACUUUUAUUUUUCAGCAGUUCAUUUUUAGACUACUAAUUUGAUUGGUAAAUGCUAUUGGAAAAACUAUGAAAUUUAGUUUUCAAAUUAAUACUUUAAAUAGUAUAGAUUAAGUCUAACGGAGCCGAUUGUCGAUUUGAAAGCUGCAUCAUUAAAAACAAUUUGAUAGCACGGAAGCCCAAUAGUAUGCCAGCCGAACUUUAUCUAUACUAUAUAUAAAAUCAUAUAGAAAUACCAAACAAAAUAAAAAAUAAUAAUAAUAAUAAUAAUAAAAGAAUAUUCCAUACGAACGAUUAUGAUCAAUUUGUUCAAAAAGUUUUCAAAUAAGAACAAAUGAUUAUGAUCAAUCUGUUAAAAAAAAAGCAUUUAUAUCCAUCUAUAAUUCAAUUCUACGCACGGUUAUGAUCAAUUUAUUAAAAGCAUUUCAAAUAAAAGCGAAUGAUUAUGAUCAAUUUGUUAAAAAAAAAGCAUUUCUUACCAUCUAUUAUGCAUUAAAAUUUAAAUUUGAGUUUAGAUCAUGAAUUAAAUUUUAUUUUUAUAUCAAAUUUGACUUAACAAUUUAAAAAUUUUAAUUAUAUAAUGGAUUGAAAUUAAAUUUCAAAUUUUAAAAUAAAUAUCAAUUAAAUUUUGAUGUUUGUAUUAGAUUCAUCAUAAAUUAAAAAAUAUAUACAAAUAUUUAACGUAUAUAAAAAAAAGAACAAUACAAAAUAUUACAAAUAUUUUUUAAUAAAAUAUAACAUAUAAAUUUGUAAAUUAUAAUUUUUAUUGUAAAUUUUUAAAUAAAUAUAAUGUACAAAUUUAUAUUGAUUUAACUAAAUUAAAAUAAUUAUUACGUACAUUUAUACGUACACUCAACUAAUAUAUAUAUAUAUAUAUAUAUAUAGAGAGAGAAAGAGUCUGGCUAUGAUACUAUCGUCUAUCGAUAGCACGAAGUAUUUGGUGGUAUCAAAUUUUUCGCCCUUGGAUUAAAAGAUGUGCUGUUAGGAUGAUGAGUAGUAUAUAUAUAUAUUAAAU